GCCUGCCCGCGGCUUGUCCCCGCGCAGGGACACCAUGGUGCUGAGCGCGGAGCAGGUGAGCCUCAUCGGGCAGGUGUUCGAGUCCUACGUGCUGGAGCACCACAGGGACGAAAUCCUGGGCAUCCUGAGGGAGGCGGACGACCAGGCGCACUACCCCGUCGUCGUCGACGCCUUGACGCUCUUUGAAACCAACAUGGAGAUCGGGGAGUACUUCAACGCCUUCCCCAGCGAGGUGCUGCCGGUUUUCGACAGCGCGCUGCGCCGGGCUGCGCUGGCAGCGCUGCAGGACAGCGCGGACCCGGCACAGCUCAGCCUCAAGCAGAACCUCCACGCCAGGGUCUCGGGUUUGCCUGUUUGCCCAGAGCUGACUCGAGAGCACAUUCCUAAAUCCAAGGAUGUGGGACACUUUUUGUCUGUUACUGGGACUGUCAUACGUACCAGUUCGGUGAAGGUUUUGGAGUUUGAGCGGAGUUACAUCUGCAACAAGUGCAAGCACGUGUUUGUUGUCAAGGCUGACUUUGAGCAGUGCUACGCAUUCUGUCGUCCAGCAGCCUGUCUCAAUGAAGAGGGCUGCAACUCAACCAAGUUCAUGUGUCUCUCUGGAACAACCUCUUCUCCUACCUGCUGCAGGGACUAUCAAGAAAUUAAAAUUCAGGAACAGGUUCAGAGGCUGUCUGUUGGAAGCAUCCCUCGUUGCAUGGUGGUUGUUCUGGAAGAUGAUUUGGUGGACAGUUGCAAGUCUGGAGAUGACAUCACAGUGUAUGGAGUGGUAAUGCAGAGGUGGAAACCUUUCCAUGAGGGUGCACGCUGUGACUUGGAGCUUGUUUUAAAAGCCAACUAUGUUAAAAUCAACAAUGAGCAGCUAGCAGGGGUUGUAAUUGAUGAAGAAGUUCGCAAGGAAUUUGAAGACUUCUGGGAAAGGCAUAGGAAUGAUCCCUUAGCAGGGAGGAAUGAAAUUUUGGCUAGCUUAUGUCCUCAAGUUUUUGGAUUGUACCUGGUGAAGCUAGCUGUAGCCAUGGUGCUUGCUGGUGGUGUGCAGAGAACUGAUGCUGCUGGAACUCGAACCAGAGGUGAAUCACAUCUUCUGUUGGUUGGAGAUCCAGGUACAGGGAAAUCUCAGUUCCUCAAGUAUGCAGUUAAGAUUAUGCCACGCUCUGUGCUUACAGCAGGAAUUGGAUCUACAAGUGCAGGUAUGUGCUUCUUCAGCUGUAAGGUUAUCUCUUCACCUGAGUAUGUUUAUAUUGAAGCCUUCUGCAUAUGUGAACAUACGUGCUCAAGUUGUUAUGAGCACAGUUGAAGUAGAGACCUGCUGUGGAGGCAUAUCACAAGCCUCAUCCAGAGGCACCUCUCAGUGCUUUGCUAGUGGAGAGUGAUCUGGACCUGUAUUUUUAGCAUUUUCCAGCUAUGGAAAAUAUGACAUCUUUCCAGAGCUCACGCUGUGUGAUGAGCUAGCAUCAUUUGGUUUCUCCUGAACAGAUAAUCUUCUCUUCUGUUCUGUGUUCUGUCUGGGUGCCAGUUUGAUUUCUGUUUGCUUUCUGGAAAUUCACUCCUGUGUUGAGGAAUUAUUUCUUACACAUGAAGAUGGUUUUAAGAUGGUUUCAGAGAGCAAGUGGGUUUUUUCUUCUUUUUUUCUUUUUUUCUCUUUCUUCCUUUUGUUAAAUUUAGGUAUGUCUCAGCUGGCUCUGCUCUCAGGCAUCUUUGCAAACUCUUCUGGGGACAAUGUACAGGGUCAGAUUACCUCUUCCAGUAACUUUAUUUAUUUAACAAACGAAUAUGCUACAUGUAUGUUCAAAAUGACAAAAUAAUUAAGGUCAAAUCCCAGUGUUUCAGCUAGCAUGUGUAACUUGAAUAUUUCUUAGAGAGUGUUGCUUAUCAUUUUAUGUCUGGGAAAUAGCAUUAUUUGUACAUGGGAGAACCAAAGGAUAAAUCUUCCCCAAUUCCACAGCUAUGUAUAUACUGAAUCUUCCAUAUUCGUGGAAGUGGAACAUACACUCCUGUGUGCAGGGAACUUGUUAUGAAAAACAUAUGCACCUGGCUUUCCAUUCAAACUGUUAACAAAUAGGUCUGAAGAGAAGACAGAGAGAAAAUUCUGUUUAAUACAAUCUUUUCUCCACUUUUUGUUCUGUGAACAAAAAUUGAGAAGUCUGAUAAUUUCAGAUUUCCUAGGGCACUUGCAGUGACCUGGAGUGAAAUUUUGCCAUGUAUUUCAGUGUGACUUUGCCCAUUUUUGUAAAUAGUGAUUUUCUGUGUCAGUUGCUCUCAGUCUCUGAUGUUGCUGUUGCCUUCUUCACCAUGCCUCCCUCCCAUGCUUCACCUUCCAUAUGAUCUGAUUUCCAGUUCAGCCAUGAUGGCUAGGUUCAAAGACAUUUCCCUGAAAACAAAUAUUGCAGUUUAUAGGUUUACUGUGGUGUAUGUGCACUAAUGAUGUGUGGAGAUGAACUUUCAUCUCAUGAAAGGUUUGUCUUGCACCUUUAGAUCAUCUAUAUUUCACUUAAAUAUUCCUUAUUUGUUAAAAAAACCUUCUCUCUCAGUCCCUUUUUCUAAAAUCUGACAGCAGCACCAAAUUUCUCCUUUAGAGUUGUUCAGGACUGUUAUGUCCUGAAGAAACCUGAGUGCCUAGCAAGGAAACUUAUUAACCCUAGUUUAAUUUCAGGGAACCUUUCCAUGGCUAGAACUGCUGGACUAAGGUAUUAAUUUCUAGACCAGGAGUUUGGAUGCUGUUUGAAUUACUAUUUUCUUUGCCUUUCCCAUGCAACGAGUGUCAUAUGAAUCUCUUGUAGCUAGCUUUACCUAACACUGAUUUUUGUCAACUUCCUUUCUGGGCAGAAGCUUCAAAUUAGUUUGGAGAACUAUAAAACUACUUUACUUUGCUUAUCUAAUUUAACACUUUGAAUUACCAGUUUCUGCUUUCCCGUGAGAGGACAGUCCUAAGGCACAUUCUUUCUUCCAGUGCAUGAAUAUUAAAUCUCUAAGUUCACUUUUAGCUAGUUCCUUACUGUUUAUAAAAAGCAGUCUGAAUUGCAUUUAAUUGCUGGCUCUAAGCCAAAAGACACACCUGAGAUUGAGUAAACCCUGAAUAAGGUAUCUAACUAGCUUUAGUAAGACUCUGUGUGCACUGACAUACCUUGUUCCCUUUACCCAUCUGGUACUGUUUUAGUACACCAGCUCUUUUAUAAGCAUUGAAUUAGAAUUCUGCAUCCCAAACUGUGUCAUACCAGUUUUACUUGGUUUUCUGUACAAGCAUUUAUUUGUACCAGGACAGCGUAUUAGUUUAAUCAAAUUCUCCUUGUGCCAAAAUUCUUUCUUUCCUGGUCUACCUUAGGUAUCACAUACUCUGAGAUCCACUGUGAUACUUUGUGCCCCUGCAGUAUCAUGUGCCCCAUCAACCCAUACAGACGUGACUGGAAUUGGCUCGUAGAAUUUCAGAAAACAGUGACCUAACUCCUGCAGCUUUAUUUGCUGUUGGUUGGUCCUUUCAAUCAGGUUCCUGCCUUCCCCUGCACUUUCUAAACAAGUCUGUGCUGUUUACCUGAUUCAGAAGGUACAGCCCAGGAUAAAACUCUGCUUUCUUGCUGAAGGUUUGGAAGACCUUCAUCUUUCCAUCUCACCCACCCGCUCAAGUUGCAUGCUUGCUGCAAACAACCCUUACAAAUGACAAGUAAUUUGUUCUCUGCUUUGAAAAAAAACAACUUUACCUCCACUCAGUGAAUAAGUUUCUGAGCUUACUUUUUUAUUAAGUUGCCUUUCUUGCAAACACUUAGCGGAAAUUUUCUGUUGCAAAUUCUCUACAAGUUUAGAACUUAUAUGAGGAACCAGGGUUUGUUCCUCCCACAUCUCUUUUAACGACAGUUGGCAGGCAGACCAGCCCACACACAACAACUCAAUGGCAAAAAAUUUCUUUGACCACUGUAGGACUUCGUGAUCUGCAAAUGAAAGAUGGGGGAACCAUCUGUCCCGCUGUUUUGCUUUGUGUACACUGUUUUUUUUACAGGCCCAGUUCAUUCUCCCUGACUUGUCUCUCUGAGAAUCACAGGGAGUCAUUCAGCUACCUUUUAUUUUUAGAAAUUGAUACACAGUUUUCCAUAAAGAUGGAGACUUAGGAAGGCUUAACAAGAUCUCUCUGGGGAUUCUCACCUUACUACUGAGUUAAAGAAACUGUUUUGCAGUCCCCAGAGGCACAGUGCUGCUUAUGUAUAUUUGGAUGAGAUAAUCACUAGUAAGAAAAUAUUUCAUUUACCUCUGGAGCUUGAGAUUUGCAGUGAUCUGGUGGUGUGCAACAGGAACCAAUGCAUGCCAGCUGCUGGCAAGUCUGGGGCUCAUGGACAUCCAGGCCAGAGUCAUUCUGCUGCUUGCUAGUGCAUAUUUGACUGUUCACAUUUCUGAAAAUUUUGUUUGGUGUUGCAUCCCUCCACAGAUGGAUUGCUUAAAGAAUUUUGUGAACUGUAUUUAGAACAGCUUGCCUAAAAAUCUGGGAGAGUAUCAGCUGUUUCUCCAGCUCUCCAGUUCUGUAUAAUAUGCCUUUCUGAGCUGUGUGACAUGCACCCUUUCUGGCCUCUCCUCUUAGAGCCUCUGCAGAACCUUACAAGUACUGCCUUUUUGCUGCUAUUUUCCAUAUAUAACACUGUCCAUAUCAUGCCAACAGCAGUUUGCUACUGAUUUCCUUUAUUUUCGUUAAAGGGAACCAACUCAAGGGGAAUUCACCUCUUUUCUUUCAUACUAAGCUUUCCCCUGGUAGGCAGGCUUCAGGUGCUAACAGCUGUCUCUUUUCUGAUCCAUUAGAAACCAAUCCAAAGUCACUGACAUGAGCCAUCCAGCUGUGGUUAUAAAUAGAGUACAUGGUGUCAGUAUCCUGAGGUAUGCAAGAUUCUGAAACUGGAGAUACUUUUCCCUCUGUGUAGAUCUCCAAACUGUCCCUGUGCCUUCCCUAGUUCAUAUAAGCCAAAGUAGUGCCAGGAAACCAUUUUCCACCAUGGAUUCAUACCCUGUUCCUCAUAAAGUUAUUAAUAAAGAUGCAGCCUUUAGGCUACUGUUCCCUGAUCAUCACUUCUACCAUGGGAUUGUUUUCCUGAAUAUUUAAAAUUGUACGUGAACUUGAAGUAUUUUCUAUCAGUAUGUAACCUGAAAAUAUUUUCUUGAGAUCACGGCUUCACUGGCUGUUCCUUAAACAGCUGGGCCUCAAGCUGGAAAGGCCUUAGCUCUAUAGGAAGUCUACUAAACUUGUCAAAGGAAUGAAAUUUGAAGCUGUAAUAAAAUAUUGUCAGACAUACCCUAUCUGUAACAAUGUCCUAUCUCUUCUUUAGUUCCCUUAAUUUCUUCUGAAUAAUGCUUUUCCAAAAUGGCUUUGUCCUGAGAGAGCUUACCUUGACUACCUGCAUGACAGCGAUUAUUUAGCCAAAGAGAUGCCUGUCUUCAAAAAAUUUGGUUCUUUCAAACAUCUUCAUAUCUGAAGGCCCAUAGUUAGGUUGGAUAGGAAUUACUGCAGGAGCAAUAUUCUGUCAUAUUGGUUGAAGGUUUCAGGUCUUAUACACUUCUAACACCUCCAGGCCAACCUUCAUCAGACUUUUUCAUCCUGCUGUUGAAAUGGCAGGCAUUUCAAGCAGUGAUUUUUGCAUGGGUAACAUAUGUCUUCAGCAUUUCCUUUACCAUACUGUGAAGCCCCUCCUUCUUUCCAGUUUUAUAAUGUAGGUCUGCCCCACUCUCCUAGUAAGAUAGGAUGAAUUGGAGGAUACCCUUAUUUUGAAAGGCUGGCCUCCUUAUUUCAUGGGGCAAGGGAGUUUUGGAAGGAGACCAAAAAACUCCAUAAAAGUUUCUGCCAGUUCAGUUCAGCCAGUUCUUAACACUGCUGGGAACAUGUAGCUGUUUUCUCUUGCAUCUGGUGUAGCACAGACACAUCCUUCCUCUGACCUUCUCUUGUGUCUGCAGUCAUGGUCAGUGAGUACCCAGCCAUGUCUCCAAAACUGCAUUACCUAAAGCUGGAAUUGUUUUAAGUGUAUCCUCCCUCCAUCUUCUCCUGAAAUGGCCCUCUAAGUUCCAUGUAGAAGCCUCAGGUUUGCCUUUAAGAAAGCCUUCCUAGUGCCUCUAGCUGGGUCUUCCUUUUAUCAUUUUUGCCUAGACCAAAAAUCAAGGAAAAAGCCCUCCAUCCAUCUUCUCCAGCCCUGCUCUGAUAUCACACACUACAAGACCAGCUUUUAAGAAGCAGAACUAUAACUGGAAACAGAAACAGGAGGGCCUGAGGAACUGCCAGCCUUUACACACAGUUGUCAGUUCUGCUGCAUCUUCCUGGCUGGAAUUUAGCAGAGCCCCCUAUCCAGGGGGUAACAGCAACAAUUAACCCAUUAUCGCCUGAGCAAACUUCUGUGGCUCUCAAAAUAAAUUACAUAAUCUGUACUCUUGCAGACCACUGUGCUAUGGAUAAGGAGUAGGGUAAUUAGGUGAAGGAUCUGCAGCUGUCCAGACAGAAGCCAGAUGUUAACUUUGCCCUUUUUUUAUCUCUGAUAAAAUGAGGGUUUGCUAGGAGUAUACAUGUAGAGCAUGUUUGGGGCUUUUCCUUUUUUCUUCCCACUAGCAUUUUCAGGUGUCAGUGGACAAUCAGUCUAGCUGCAAGUGGCUACCUUUCAGUCUGAACUGACUUCCAGGAAACCAGCAGCUGAGGCAGUCCAAAGAAAAUAAUGGACUGUCAGAUCACCAAAUUUCUUUGUGACUUUGUCCCUCCCAUCACAAGAACAGUGUCUGGUACACCAUAAACUAAGUUACUGUGGUUGGUGUAGUGAAGUUCCAAAUUGUUUCAUUGUUGAAGAUUGGUAGUGAGGGUUGGCUUUUUCAGUGGAGCUUUGUAAAGCCACUGGAAACAUUAAAUUUCACUAGUACCCAUUCUGAUGGAGCUAGAGCCAUUCCUUCAAAUUUAAGUGUUGCAGUAAUUCACAUUGAAGUUGAUGCCUGAAUAAAUCAGUGACUGUAAGCUGAGGGACAACUUUUUUCAAGCUAGACAUAAAAACCACACAUUUUUCAUCCAUGUUGCCUUGUCUGAUCCACUUACUUCUUUGUAAAUGAAUAACCUCUGAUAAGCAUUAUGACAGUGUUCUAAUGGUCUGCCUGUCUGAGAUGAAAACACAGUGAGAUACACCACCAGUCCCAUCAGCAGAAUCUGUAGGAUUCCUUUGCAUCUUGGUGGCCUCUGCAAGUGAAAGUUUGUGGUAAGGUGAAUACAUCCUCAACCUUGAAAUGGUAAUGCUGUGAUGUCAGCACUGGUUGGCUGUGUCACGUGCACAGACCUGCUGUUCUAAAACGUUCAGCGAUCAGGGACACGUCUUUACAGAUGCCCUACAUGCAGUCUAUCAUUUAAUACCACUAAGUCUGUGUUGUGAUAUUGCCUGAAGUCUCUGGGGGAUUGGAAAUUGAUUCCUCAAAUUCUAUGUCUCUGGAGGCUGAUUUUGUCAAGAAAUACUCAGAAGGCAGGGUGUAUGGACUGCUAAGACCUGAGGCACCCAGCCUUCUCAAAAGGCAUAGAAAUCCCAUUUAUCUUGCAGAGGUUAUGAGGUAGGGUUGUUCAUCUCCAAUUUUCACCAAGCACAGCAUUCCUUUUCCUGCUAGAGGUGGGUCACCUCUAUGCAGGCCACAUGAGUCUAUCAGGUAAAGUGGUGCCAAACUCUGCUGCAGCAUCCUGACACAGUCAAGCCUGACAUUUAUUGCACCCAUGUGUACUCAUGCACACAUGACUUUUUAGACUGACAAGAGAACUUCACUUUUCCAUUCCUCUGAAUUAACUGGUUUGCUGGGUGACAUCACUUUGUUGACUAAAUUUUGCAAUUGGAUAUGCAAUAGCAGCAAUAAUGGUUUGCUUCCAUCACGUUGUGGCAUAUACUUCUAAAAAGCCUUCAUGCUACCAGUGCAUGGAUUCUGGUUACAGCUUGUACUUGGAUCAUGCUUUCAUUUGAAUAUUCAACAGAGGCAAAAGUUUGAAACACUACUACAGUAACCUUAAUUCAAGGCAUACUUCACAAGCCUGUCAAUCCUUCAGCAGGUAACCAAAUUAUUUACAUGCUUACAUUUAGGAGGUAUCGUAGACUUAUAAAUAGAACAUAAAGUGCAUGAAAAAUCUCAAAAUGUCACUGAAGACCUAAAAGUUGCAAUAUAAUUGAAAAUCAAAGAUAAAGUUCACAGAAAUUCAGCCUUAAGUGAAGUGACUGCUAGUUCAGGGAACACUUAGUUCUUUGUGUUGUCAUACUGAUGACUAUUAAUAUUUUUAGAUUUCUGAUUAUCACUUUAAACAAGUAGAGAGAGAUUGUUAAGAGCACAUAUUAGAACUAGGCCUCCAAAUAUUAAUGGAUUUCAUUAAUUCAUUCAUCUACCCUAGAUAAGUACUGCUGAGCUUCCAUACAGGAAAAACAUUUGGAUCAGGUCAUUCCUUUCCAGUUUAAAAAACACAUAUUUGAAAUGCAGGCAAUUUCACUAACGAUAUGGAAAGACAGAAGCACUGCCUGGGACAUCUUCAUCGCCAUUAGAGAAUGCAGAAAGAAAACAGAAAGCAUUCUAUUUUUAUUCAGAGCUACGCUGUUAAUCAUCAUGAAAUGUACCUUUUUUUUGAAGGGCCCAGAACCUACAAGGGUUCAUAAUUUGGGCAGUGACUAGUAAACAGUAGAACUACAUUCCUGUAAUCUGGCAUGACAGAUUACAAUUUAAAUGCACAUACAGGCACAGUAAAUAUAAAUAUAGCUAAUGAGGACUGAAAGUAAUAACUAAAUUCUUAAGUGUUGUAAUACUGUCUUAAGUCUUUACAGGUUACUGCUUAGUUCCUUUUAUUUUCAAGGAUGCCUCCUCAGGUAAUAGGGAUGUCUCACUGCAAGAGCUUGAGGGCAAGUAAUGUAUUUUUGACUGUGUCAUGCCUGCCACAACAGGGUUUAUACCAGUGACUAGGAUUGCCUUAAAGGCUAGAAAGAAAACAGAAGUUUAAAAUUCCAGGUGUUUCAAAAAACUGAAAGAAAACAACCUAACUCCUUACUACUACUGAAAAAGAUGACAAUAAAGCAUGCCUGAAAGUAAACAUACUAACCAGUAGUGAUCCGUAAUCUUGCAGAAGAGUGUAUUUGGGAUAUUCACACUAUUGCUUUUGAGGUUUAGAAUCUUCUAGUACUUGCUUGCAUUCUUCCAACCACUUGUGUAUGGUAUUAGGGUGGCUGAAAAAGGGCUCUUUCCUGAGUUACCCACCCCAACAUACAUGAAACACUGUCCUGAACAAAACCAUAGUUUGACUAAACAGCAGCAGCAGCAGGAGAUUAAAAAAAAAAAAAGUAUCUAAAAUCCAAGAUAGCAGAUGGUAAAUCUCAAAUUGCAGGCUUUAAGUAACAAGUAUGUGCCUUGAAAGGAAAAGAAGCUUGCACCUAAAAUUAUACUGUGCUGUUUGCUUUCAGAGCAAAAGAACAUUUUUGGACUUUUUUGUUUGUUAUUAAGAGACACUUUUUUUCUUUACACUUCAUCUAAUGACAGUUUUGUUCUUAAGAUGCUAUUAAAGGGCACUUUAUAUUUGGCAAUCUGGAUAGCAGCGAUGAGGACAUGGCAUUAUUCCUUCAUUUUGCCUGAAUGUUUUAACUUCUGAACUGUUUUUAAGUUUUUAAUAGUGCUUACAAAGUAAGGGGGGAGGGGAGAGAAUACAUAUACUUUAAUCAGAUUUGGU
Molecule: RNA transcript, 9670 nt
Organism: Poecile atricapillus (Black-capped chickadee)
Lineage: Eukaryota; Metazoa; Chordata; Aves; Passeriformes; Paridae
Gene: MCM9
Gene name: minichromosome maintenance 9 homologous recombination repair factor
Exons: 7
Source: RefSeq, a predicted model, not a curated record